This 1107-nucleotide ribosomal RNA is filed under the name Triticum aestivum (bread wheat). Its description in RNAcentral is "partial small subunit ribosomal RNA". Lineage: Eukaryota; Viridiplantae; Streptophyta; Magnoliopsida; Poales; Poaceae. The record is from RNAcentral.
AUGGAGUGCGAGAACGCACACGUUGCCGCCAACGGCGAUGGCUUGUGCAUGGCGCAGCCGGCGCGGGCCGACCCGCUCAACUGGGGGAAGGCGGCGGAGGAGCUCUCGUGUAGCCAUUUGGAUGCGGUGAAGCGGAUGGUGGAAGAGUACCGACGGCCCGGCACACCCAUCGGUGUGUCCAUGGACAACACCAGGCUUGGCAUUGCUGCGAUUGGCAAGCUCAUGUUUGCCCAAUUCUCAGAGCUGGUGAACGACUUCUACAACAACGGUCUGCCUUCAAACCUCUCCGGUGGGCGCAACCCAAGCUUGGACUAUGGCUUCAAGGGUGCCGAGAUUGCCAUGGCCUCGUACUGCUCCGAGCUCCAGUUCUUGGGCAACCCUGUGACCAAUCAUGUUCAGAGCGCGGAGCAACACAACCAAGAUGUCAACUCUCUUGGUCUCAUCUCCUCAAGGAAGACCGCCGAGGCCAUUGACAUACUCAAGCUCAUGUCCUCGACGUUCUUGGUCGCGUUGUGCCAGGCCAUCGACCUUCGCCACCUUGAGGAGAAUGUCAAGAAUGCUGUCAAGAGCUGUGUGAAGACUGUGGCUAGGAAGACACUGAGCACCGAUACCAAUGGCCAUCUCCAUAACGCGCGCUUCUGCGAGAAGGACCUUCUGCUCACAAUCGACCGUGAAGCCGUGUUUGCAUACGCAGACGAUCCUUAUAGCGCCAACUACCCACUCAUGCAGAAGAUGCGUGCAGUUCUUGUGGAGAAUGCCUUGGCAAAUGGUGAGGCCGAGCGCGACGUGGAGACGUCGGUGUUUGCCAAGCUUGCCACGUUCGAGCGGGAGCUUCGGGCAGUGCUGCCAAAGGAGGUUGAGGCUGCCAGGAGCGCCGUGGAGAAUGGCACUGCCACACAACAAAACCGUAUUGCCGAAUGCCGGUCGUACCCCCUCUACCGAUUCGUGCGCAAGGAGCUUGGAACGGAGUACUUGACCGGAGAGAAGACGCGGUCUCCUGGCGAAGAGGUGGACAAGGUGUUCGUUGCCAUGAACCAGGGCAAGCACAUCGAUGCGCUCCUUGAGUGCCUCAAGGAGUGGAACGGCGAGCCCCUGCCUCUCUGCUAA